Long non-coding RNA from Sapajus apella (tufted capuchin), 563 nucleotides. RefSeq lists it as uncharacterized. Lineage: Eukaryota; Metazoa; Chordata; Mammalia; Primates; Cebidae. The record is from RefSeq and is a predicted model, not a curated record. The transcript has 4 exons.
CUUCCAGAAAGAUUCCUCCAUACCAUGCUUGCAGAUCUAUAGGAGGGCAAUUAAAGGUAACGUCUGGUCUGCCAGCCUUUACUUCUCCAAUUGAAAUGCAAUGUGGAAGUCAAGGGGGAGGUGGUCUUAAAUGCUUAAGGGUGAUUAAGGGUCUCCUUCCUCACUCCCCUCUUUGAGAAUCUCACCUAUAACAUUAGUGAGAGUUCUCACUCUCAUUCUCAUUUUCAUGUUCAGGUUCCAGUUGGACCCCUCCAAUCACUCACACAAUCACACUCCUCCCCUGCCCAAAUCGAAACCAAAAAACAAGACUUCCAAGGUUAAUCACAGAGAGAGCGAGCCAAGUACAAGAGUGCCAAAUCCAGCACAUGUGUGUGAUCAGGCCAUGCUUCCACCUAAAGGAGGUGGGCAAGUGUCCCAGGAUCAAUCCUACCGUGUUUCUGUUGUCCGGACACUCCAAGUACCAUUCCUUCUUGCUGUUCAGUCACCGGGUGGAUCCACACUGCAGGUGCUUUCCUGCUCUGCUCUGGCGAGGCUUUCCACUGGGCCAAUACCUGCCCAGGAGC